CACACUCCAUCAGCACAACCAAAUGCUUAAAAAAUUUUAAAUGGACAUAGACCAACAAGCAUUUGUUAAAACAAGAACGAUAGCCCUCACUUUCCAAUAUUAGUCAUUCAGUACUUUAUUUUCACAGGGCCAACAAGUUUAUUAACAAGAACACAACAUGCUUGUUAAAAAACAAGUCACAGAAAUUACAAAAACUACACAAACCCAACGCCCAUUUCAUUUGUUGCUGCCUGGAAACAACCUCUUCGAUCCUAGUACUUAGUAGCUACCAGUUAAGACUAAUGAACUUCUUUAUCUCAUUUCAGCAGAUGAUCCCAUAUUCUCCUCUUCAGUGAUAGACACCAAGUACUUGUUGUCAGAAUUCCUGGCAGAGCAAUUGGCACGAAUUUCCCCUUGAUUCCCUGUCAGCACGUCCAAUUGCCCCAUCUUGAUCAUGGAAAGCACGAAUUCUUCAAAGAACAAUGUUUCAUUGAUAGCAAAGCUAGUGACAAUGCCCCUUGUUCUCUUAUCCGUGUACAGAUCUUGGUCCGAUGUAAAAAGACCCUGACGGUUCAUGAGAUCAACGAAGUAUUUGUUGUCAAAUUUAUUAGGGGACCUAAUAUCCAAGAAAGUUAUGUUGCUGGUGUCUAUUUUUGGACAAGUUAGCUUGAGAUUAUUGGCAAAGGUUUUAUCCAUGGUAGGAUCUUGGGUUGGAUAAAGACGGUCAGUGAAAGAUGUGCAGUGGCCAAUGCCAAUGGUGUGGGCACCUGAGAGGGCCACUGCAUCGGUGGCAUCAAGGUUUUUCCGGGCAAGCUUGGUGAGAAUGGUGGUAGUGUUAGCGUCAGGUCCUACCAGGUCUACAAAAGUUUGGUUUACUUGAGCGAAUACUACUCCGUCUCGCCUUCCCAAGGGGACAUCAUAGUCAGGGCCACCGGUUAGGACAACGGAGUCACGGGCAGCGAUCGCGACGAUGUCAGAGCAAGAGACGACACGGCCACACUCUUUGUGGACAAUCUCGCGGAGGUUGUUGACGAUUUUAAAUGCUUCUUUCCUCAAGGUCAAGUUAGGAAGUUCAGACUUCUCGCUUGGUCCACCUGCUGAUCCAUCAAGCAACACCGAGCUAUCGCAUCCCUGAACGAAGCAGUCAUGGAAGUGGAGACGAAGCAAGCCUGCAGCUUGGCCAACAUCUUUCUUGAAAACUUUCUUGAGCUCAUUUCUGAUAAUAGAUUCAACUUUAGGGCAGCUAGAUUUGUAGAAAGUCCAAGAGAGACCAUUCACUAUAGGAGGUUUGCUUUGUGCUUCAGUGGCACUAAAGCAAGAAGCAAGCAACACGCAAGAGAUCAAAAGGAGAGGAGUACUACUAGCCAUGGCUGCUGGUUUGUGUGUGCGUGUCCUAGCACUGAGAGGGUGUUUAUUUAUAGCCAAUGUAAUGUUUUAUUUUAAGCCCUAGCUUUUGAAUUGUCAAUUCUUGGA
RNAcentral lists this unclassified non-coding RNA (1452 nucleotides) under Hevea brasiliensis (rubber tree). The record is from RNAcentral. Lineage: Eukaryota; Viridiplantae; Streptophyta; Magnoliopsida; Malpighiales; Euphorbiaceae.